AUUGAACGCUGGCGGCAGGCCUAACACAUGCAAGUCGAACGGUAACAGGAAGAAGCUUGCUUCUUUGCUGACGAGUGGCGGACGGGUGAGUAAUGUCUGGGAAACUGCCUGAUGGAGGGGGAUAACUACUGGAAACGGUAGCUAAUACCGCAUAACGUCUCAAGCCCAAAGAGGGGGACCUUCGGGCCUCUUGCCAUCGGAUGUGCCCAGAUGGGAUUAGCUAGUAGGUGGGGUAACGGCUCACCUAGGCGACGAUCCCUAGCUGGUCUGAGAGGAUGACCAGCCACACUGGAACUGAGACACGGUCCAGACUCCUACGGGAGGCAGCAGUGGGGAAUAUUGCACAAUGGGCGCAAGCCUGAUGCAGCCAUGCCGCGUGUAUGAAGAAGGCCUUCGGGUUGUAAAGUACUUUCAGCGGGGAGGAAGGGAGUAAAGUUAAUACCUUUGCUCAUUGACGUUACCCGCAGAAGAAGCACCGGCUAACUCCGUG
Molecule: ribosomal RNA, 490 nt
Filed under: uncultured bacterium
Lineage: Bacteria
Description: partial 16S ribosomal RNA
Rfam family: Bacterial small subunit ribosomal RNA
Source: RNAcentral